Melospiza melodia melodia is the source of this 395-nucleotide long non-coding RNA. RefSeq lists it as uncharacterized. The record is from RefSeq and is a predicted model, not a curated record. The transcript is spliced from 4 exons. NCBI's taxonomy places the organism in Eukaryota, Metazoa, Chordata, Aves, Passeriformes, Passerellidae.
GCCCUGUCUGUGUUCCCGCAGUGCCUGUGGACAAUGCCACCAUCACCCCCAGUGUCCUGGAGGUGACACUGCCGGAGACAGGGACACACAGCGACACAGUGGCCGCAGGCGUCAGUGGGGCCCUUUUGUUCCUGCUCCUGCUUGUGGGUGUCAUGGUGGCCUGGCACUGGUGGCACCGUGUGGAUGCCAGGAAGCACCAGGAAAGGGCCCCCUGAGACCCCCUGGCACCCCCAGUGGAGGAUCCUCAGGCGAUGUACAUGGAGCUGCAAAGGCAACCGUGGGAACCCAGUGACAUCUAUGACAAUCUACACCAAAAGUUGUGAUGCUCUGGGAAGCGGGAGGCACUGGGUGACACUGGGGGUGCUCCCUCCAUGGCUCCUGUGGUUACCCAUCCU